This is a non-coding RNA of Sphaerobolus stellatus SS14, 88 nucleotides long. The record is from the annotation of a GenBank genome assembly. Lineage: Eukaryota; Fungi; Basidiomycota; Agaricomycetes; Geastrales; Sphaerobolaceae.
UCCGAUAUGGUGUAGUGGCUAACAUUAUCGCCUCUCAAUUCCAGCACUUGGUGCAUGAUAGCCCGAGGUUCAAUUGCCUGUGUCAGAA